CGCACAUUGCACUCCUUGGUAUUCCGGGGAGUAUGCCUGUUCGAGCGUCAUUACACCCUUCAAGCUUUGCUUGGUAUUGGAACUCAUCUGUCAAAAAGAUGUUUCCGAAAAAGAGUGGUUGUUUGUAUAACUUCAAGCGUGGUGAAAAUUUUACGUUCCGAUAGUUGUGCGAGCUUGCCAAAAACAUAUCUUCAAUAAUUUGACCUCGGAUCAGGUAGGGAUACCCGCUGAACUUAA
RNAcentral lists this unclassified non-coding RNA (237 nucleotides) under Micarea xanthonica. RNAcentral describes it as "partial contains 5.8S ribosomal RNA, internal transcribed spacer 2, and large subunit ribosomal RNA". Lineage: Eukaryota; Fungi; Ascomycota; Lecanoromycetes; Lecanorales; Micareaceae. The record is from RNAcentral.